GAAGACUUUCUAGACUUUAUACAUGAUGUCUCAAAACCAUCUAAUACUUUAGAGUACAAAAUUUGGGACUAAUCUCGUACACAACUUAAACAAUACUAGAAAUACAUCAAAAGGAACAUGUAGGGUAUUGUCCUCGAAUCUAUGAGGACUCACCAAGUCUUCAUCUCCAACACUUAGAAACCUAUCAAGUAGCCAUGACAUGUCACCAUCUCCAAAUCCCUACA
RNAcentral lists this long non-coding RNA (224 nucleotides) under Solanum tuberosum (potato). RNAcentral describes it as "long non-coding RNA (STUB_LNC005739)". Lineage: Eukaryota; Viridiplantae; Streptophyta; Magnoliopsida; Solanales; Solanaceae. The record is from RNAcentral.